CCUACGGGUGGCAGCAGUGAGGAAUAUUGGUCAAUGGACGAGAGUCUGAACCAGCCAAGUAGCGUGAAGGAUGACUGCCCUAUGGGUUGUAAACUUCUUUUAUAUGGGAAUAAAAUGUUCCACGUGUGGGAUUUUGUAUGUACCAUAUGAAUAAGGAUCGGCUAACUCCGUGCCAGCAGCCGCGGUAAUACGGAGGAUCCGAGCGUUAUCCGGAUUUAUUGGGUUUAAAGGGAGCGUAGGUGGAUUGUUAAGUCAGUUGUGAAAGUUUGCGGCUCAACCGUAAAAUUGCAGUUGAAACUGGCAGUCUUGAGUACAGUAGAGGUGGGCGGAAUUCGUGGUGUAGCGGUGAAAUGCUUAGAUAUCACGAAGAACACCGGUUGCGAAGGCAGUUCACUGGACUGCAACUGACACUGAGGCUCGAAAGUGUGGGUAUCAAACAGGAUUAGAUACCCUUGUAGUC
RNAcentral lists this ribosomal RNA (460 nucleotides) under uncultured bacterium. Its description in RNAcentral is "partial 16S ribosomal RNA". It matches the Rfam family "Bacterial small subunit ribosomal RNA", at positions 338 to 795 of the family's 1533-position model. The record is from RNAcentral.